AUGGGUAGCAGCGUUGAACACUUGUCCUGUCUCAUCAGACUGGUCAUCAAGGUUCUGCUGCAUCACCACUCGGUGGAUGAGAUCUCCUAUAUCGCCAAGGAUACCCAGGCCUUCGACUACCACCGGGCCUUCGACUACGCCUCUGGGAAGGAGGGACACCACAGUUGGGAUUGCAACACAAGUGUUUGUGAACUGCGUGUGUGUCGUCUAGAAGAUGAAGGCGUGUGCUCCUCUUCCUUCACAUCCCUCCCUCCCUCCCUGACAGGCAGAGCCCCUGAUCGUUGACCUGCGCGACCUCUUCACACUCAUCUACGACAUCAAGCAGCACGAGGAGAUGGAGAGGAAGGCCCAGAAGGACUGGCAGUGUCACACACAGACACACACACACACAAACCCACAUGAAAACCACAUUAAACAUUUAGAGACAUACGACUCAACAGAUUGUAUGCUUGUCUUGUGGUUGGUGAUGUAUAUAGAAACUAUAUGAGUUAUCAUUACUCAUUGUGUAUUUAUUAUUACUUUUAUGACACGUUUUACUUUUCUAUUUCUUUAUCUCUGCAUUGUUGGGAAGGACCCGUAAAGUUAGCAUUUCACUGUUAGUCUACACCUGUUGUUUAACAGUGAAAUCAACAGUUUAAAAAAAAACAUUUAUCUCAUUCAAUUCCUUCACCAAUCAGUUCAGAAAGAGCAAGCAAGCUAGUUGUUUACAUGCGUGAUGGAUAGAUAGCCUAUGGCGCAAGAUGCUAAAUUUUGCGAAUGCUCACCCUAGGUGGGGAGAUAGCAGGAGAGGAUUGAGGAGGAGGCUUGAAGCUCGGGGCAUCUUGUUAUGACAUGCAUUAUCUUAGGCAAAAAAAUUAAAAACACGUCUUGCCUUUUUGUCGUUAAUAAAUCCAACGUCAAACGUGAUAACUAGGCCUAUAGGAUUCUUAACUAGCUUUAAAAAAGUUAAUCCAUUCUUCUCUCGCUAAUUCAAAAUCUCUCUCCCCAUCUUCUGAAUCACACUUGUAAUGUCAGUACAGUAGUCUAUGAUUCGGGGGGGGGGGGGGCAGGUACAGUCAAAGAUUUCCAGCUUGCAGGCAGACAUUGGAAUACGUUUCUGAGUGACAGAGUGAGGUCUUUGCAUAGGCUCUUGGUUGCGUUUUUUUGCCUGGUAUGUAAAAUAACGUUACUAACAGGUUCCCAAUGCCUUUGAAAUAACAGUUCUGUUCAGGAACAGUAUGAAACACCCUGCAUACCACUGCUGGCUUGCUUCUGAAGCUAAGCAGUGUUGGUCCUGGUCAGUCCCUGGAUGGGAGACCAGAUGCUGCUGGAAGUGGUGUUGAAGGGCCAGUAGGAGGCACUCUUUCCUCUGGUCUAAAAAAAUAAUAAUAUCCCAAUGCCCCAGGGCAGUGAUUGGGGACACUGCCCUGUGUAGGGUGCUGUCUUUUGGAUGGGAUGUUAAACGGGUGUCCUGACUCUCUGAGGUCAUUAAAGAUCCCUUGGCACUUAUCGUAAGAGUAGGGGUGUAAACCCUGGUGUCCUGGCUAAAUUCCCAAUCUGACCAUCACGGUCACCUAAUAAUCCCCAGUUUACAAUUGGCUCAUUCCUCCUAUUCCCCAGGUUGUUGCUGCAGAUGAGAAUGUGUUCUCAGUCAACUUACCUGGUAAAAUAACAGAAAAAUGAAUGGAUCACUUUCGUUCCUGUUAUUUAAUGUUUUCGGUUCUGUUCACUGAACUGAAUUCAACCCCUGGUCCUCAACAAGUUACUUGCAUACAGCUGCACGCACAACAUUACUUUUCAUGUUUCUUGCGGUUGUGGCCACAGUGGUGCCUGCAGAUUUCCACUCCCCACUGGUGGUAGUGCAAAAACAGAUUCCCCUGCAACACUGGUAGAAUGCCCAAAAGCCUCCUGCUGCUCAUGCUUGUAAUGACAUUGCUCCUUGCGCCCUUGCUCAUUAAUAGUGCGCAGGUGGAGUAGUCGAAGUAAAACCGUAACUAGCAAGAUGGAGGCAAACACGAAACGGCGUAUGCAAACCACAGGUAUAAUAAGAACUGGUGACUGCGUCCAAGAUGUCCGACCGUUGUUUUAAAGUUUUUUUUUUUUAAAAGCACAUUGUCUAUUACGAAAUAGACAAGUUUGAAUCUUUAGAUGUGGUAACUAGUGAGAACACAUUUAAUGUAGUCAACUGGCUGGGACUUCCAACUUCAUUGGCUUAUCCCUACCGAUGACCCGGUUGGAGUCAUGUCCAAUCAGGUCAUCAGGGCGAGGAUCAGCCAACUGUGAAGAAGCACCAUCGAGAUAACGUCAAUGGUGCUGCCCAUGCCGUCACAGACGCUAUAAUGGCGCAGAUAGAAAGAUGAGCCCCCCCUAGGUUUCCAUCCAAUUAGCAGCAGAUUUUCAAGCAAAUAUUCUAGAAUGAAGAAAAUAUGUGCAUUUUCCCAUCAGUGGUAUAUUUCCACCGAAUGGAAUUGUUGCGGAUAAAAAAAUCAUUGUGUGAUGAGGUUCUGCACACAAAAUGUACUUUUUCACUUAAGUUUUGAUAUACCGAAUACAAAUCUAAAGUUCAAUGUGUCUCCAAUGCAUUUUCAACUCUACUGAUAGUUUUGUUACAAAAACUGUUGCGAUAAGUAGCAAAUGUGCAUACUCUGGUCUUGAGACUUGCCCUCUAGCCA
RNAcentral lists this long non-coding RNA (2651 nucleotides) under Oncorhynchus kisutch (coho salmon). RNAcentral's name for it is "lncRNA (ENSOKIG00005022110.1)". The record is from RNAcentral. Lineage: Eukaryota; Metazoa; Chordata; Actinopteri; Salmoniformes; Salmonidae.